GACGAACGCUGGCGGCGUGCCUAAUACAUGCAAGUCGAACGCUGAAGGAGGAGCUUGCUUCUCUGGAUGAGUUGCGAACGGGUGAGUAACGCGUAGGUAACCUGCCUGGUAGCGGGGGAUAACUAUUGGAAACGAUAGCUAAUACCGCAUAAGAGUAGAUGUUGCAUGACAUUUGCUUAAAAGGUGCAAUUGCAUCACUACCAGAUGGACCUGCGUUGUAUUAGCUAGUUGGUGGGGUAACGGCUCACCAAGGCGACGAUACAUAGCCGACCUGAGAGGGUGAUCGGCCACACUGGGACUGAGACACGGCCCAGACUCCUACGGGAGGCAGCAGUAGGGAAUCUUCGGCAAUGGACGGAAGUCUGACCGAGCAACGCCGCGUGAGUGAAGAAGGUUUUCGGAUCGUAAAGCUCGGUUGUAAGAGAAGAACGAGUGUGAGAGUGGAAAGUUCACACUGUGACGGUAUCUUACCAGAAAGGGACGGCUAACUACGUG
Molecule: ribosomal RNA, 495 nt
Filed under: uncultured bacterium
Lineage: Bacteria
Description: partial 16S ribosomal RNA
Rfam family: Bacterial small subunit ribosomal RNA
Source: RNAcentral